This 541-nucleotide ribosomal RNA is filed under the name Phyllachora sp. Its description in RNAcentral is "eukaryotic LSU rRNA". It matches the Rfam family "Eukaryotic large subunit ribosomal RNA", at positions 82 to 642 of the family's 3401-position model. Lineage: Eukaryota; Fungi; Ascomycota; Sordariomycetes; Phyllachorales; Phyllachoraceae. The record is from RNAcentral.
AGUUAACGGCGAGUGAAGCAGCCAAUAGCUCAAAUUUGAAAUCUGCCUACGGGCCGAGUUGUAAAUUUGUAGAGGAAGCUUUUGGGUACCGCUCUUUUCUAAGUCCCCUGGAACGGGGCGCCAAAGAGGGGUGAGAGCCCCGUAUAGUAAGAAGCCUAGCCCUGUGUAAAGCUCCUUCGACGAGUCGAGUAGUUUUGGGAAUGCUGCUCUAAAUUGGAGGUAAAUUCCUUCUAAAGCUAAAUACCUGUCAGAGACCGAUAGCGCACAAGUAGAGUGAUCGAAAGAUGAAAAGCACUUUGAAAAGAGAGUUAAACAGCACGUGAAAUUGUUGAAAGGGAAGCGCCUAUAACUAGACUUGCGCUAGAUCGAUCUCCUGUCGUUUUCGGCAGUGUACUCGGUCUAGCCCAGGCCAGCGUCAGUCCUUGUAGCAGGAUAAAAGCCUUUGGAAUGUGACUCCCUCGGGAGUGUUAUAGCCUUGGGCAUAAUAUUGCUGUAGGAACUGAGGAUCGCGCCUUGCGAGGACGCUGGCGUAAUAGUUAUC